Molecule: long non-coding RNA, 1404 nt
Organism: Oncorhynchus keta (chum salmon)
Lineage: Eukaryota; Metazoa; Chordata; Actinopteri; Salmoniformes; Salmonidae
Exons: 6
Source: RefSeq, a predicted model, not a curated record
AAUAUAUACAGGUACAUUCUAAAUAUAUACAGGUACAUUCUAAAUAUAUACAGGUACAUUCUAAAUAUAUACAGGUACAUUCUAAAUAUACAGUUACAUUCUAAAUCCAUACAGGUACAUUCUAAAUAUAUACAGGUACAUUCUAAAUAUAUACAGAUACAUUCUAAAUAUAUACAGGUACAUUCUAAAUAUAUACAGGUACAUUCUAAAUAUAUACAGGUACAUUCUAAAUAUAUACAGGUACAUUCUAAAUAUAUACAGGUACAUUCUAAAUAUAUACAGGUACAUUCUAAAUAUAUACAGGUACAUUCUAAAUAUACAGUUACAUUCUAAAUCCAUACAGGUACAUUCUAAAUAUAUACAGGUACAUUCUAAAUAUAUACAGAUACAUUCUAAAUAUAUACAGGUACAUUCUAAAUAUAUACAGGUACAUUCUAAAUAUAUACAGGUACAUUCUAAAUAUAUACAGGUACAUUCUAAAUAUAUACAGGUACAUUCUAAAUAUAUACAGGUACAUUCUAAAUAUAUACAGGUACAUUCUAAAUAUACAGUUACAUUCUAAAUCCAUACAGGUACAUUCUAAAUAUAUACAGGUACAUUCUAAAUAUAUACAGGUACAUUCUAAAUAUAUACAGGUACAUUCUAAAUAUAUACAGGUACAUUCUAAAUAUAUACAGGUACAUUCUAAAUACAUACAGGUACAUACAGGUACAUUAUAAAAUAGGUACAUUCUAAAUAUAUACAGGUACAUUCUAAAUAUAUACAGAUACAUUCUAAAUAUAUACAGGUACAUUCUAAAUAUAUACAGGUACAUUCUAAAUAUAUACAGGUACAUUCUAAAUACAUACAGGUACAUACAGGUACAUUAUAAAAUAGGUACAUUCUAAAUAUAUACAGGUACAUUCUAAAUAUAUACAGAUACAUUCUAAAUAUAUACAGGUACAUUCUAAAUAUAUACAGGUACAUUCUAAAUAUAUACAGGUACAUUCUAAAUAUAUACAGGUACAUUCUAAAUAUAUACAGGUACAUUCUAAAUAUAUACAGGUACAUUCUAAAUAUAUACAGGUACAUUCUAAAUAUACAGUUACAUUCUAAAUCCAUACAGGUACAUUCUAAAUAUAUACAGGUACAUUCUAAAUAUAUACAGAUACAUUCUAAAUAUAUACAGGUACAUUCUAAAUAUAUACAGGUACAUUCUAAAUAUAUACAGGUACAUUCUAAAUAUAUACAGGUACAUUCUAAAUAUAUACAGGUACAUUCUAAAUAUAUACAGGUACAUUCUAAAUAUAUACAGGUACAUUCUAAAUAUACAGUUACAUUCUAAAUCCAUACAGGUACAUUCUAAAUAUAUACAGGUACAUUCUAAAUAUAUACAGGUACAUUCUAAAUAUAUACAGGUACAUU